AACGCACCUUGCGCCCCUUGGAUAUUCCGAGGGGCAUGCCUGUUUGAGUAUCAUGAACACCUCAACUCUCAUGGUUUGCCAUGACGAGCUUGGAACUUGGGGGUUUUGCUGGCCUGUGGUCGGCUCCUCUCAAAUGAAUCAGCCUCCCAGUGUUUGGUGGCAUCACGGGUGUGAUAACUAUCUACGCUCGCGGUUGUCCACCAGGUAACCUUUGGUGACAAAGGUUCGCUGGAGCUCACAGAUGUCUCUCCUCAGCGAGGACAGCUUUUUAACGUUCGAUCUCAAAUCAGGUAGGACUACCCGCUGAACUUAA
RNAcentral lists this unclassified non-coding RNA (313 nucleotides) under uncultured Thelephoraceae. RNAcentral's name for it is "sequence contains ITS2". RNAcentral also lists the same sequence under 1 other name. The record is from RNAcentral. Lineage: Eukaryota; Fungi; Basidiomycota; Agaricomycetes; Thelephorales; Thelephoraceae.